UACAGAGGUCCCGAGCGUUGUUCGGAUUCACUGGGCGUAAAGGGUGCGUAGGUGGUCGGGUAAGUCUGAGGUGAAAUCUCCGAGCCCAACUCGGAAACUGCCUUGGAUACUAUUCGGCUAGAGGGUUGGAGGGGGGACUGGAAUUCUCGGUGUAGCAGUGAAAUGCGUAGAUAUCGAGAGGAACACUAAGGGCGAAGGCAAGACUCUGGACAAGUGCUGACGCUCAUGCACGAAGGCGAGGGUAGCGAACGGG
RNAcentral lists this ribosomal RNA (253 nucleotides) under uncultured bacterium. RNAcentral's name for it is "partial 16S ribosomal RNA". It matches the Rfam family "Bacterial small subunit ribosomal RNA", at positions 524 to 776 of the family's 1533-position model. The record is from RNAcentral.